RNAcentral lists this ribosomal RNA (465 nucleotides) under Vreelandella stevensii. RNAcentral's name for it is "partial 16S ribosomal RNA". It matches the Rfam family "Bacterial small subunit ribosomal RNA", at positions 338 to 795 of the family's 1533-position model. The record is from RNAcentral. Lineage: Bacteria; Pseudomonadati; Pseudomonadota; Gammaproteobacteria; Oceanospirillales; Halomonadaceae.
CCUACGGGUGGCUGCAGUGGGGAAUAUUGGACAAUGGGCGAAAGCCUGAUCCAGCCAUGCCGCGUGUGUGAAGAAGGCCUUCGGGUUGUAAAGCACUUUCAGUGGGGAAGAAAGCCUUGGGGCUAAUACCCUCGAGGAAGGACAUCACCCACAGAAGAAGCACCGGCUAACUCCGUGCCAGCAGCCGCGGUAAUACGGAGGGUGCGAGCGUUAAUCGGAAUUACUGGGCGUAAAGCGCGCGUAGGCGGUCUGAUAAGCCGGUUGUGAAAGCCCCGGGCUCAACCUGGGAACGGCAUCCGGAACUGUCAGGCUAGAGUGCAGGAGAGGAAGGUAGAAUUCCCGGUGUAGCGGUGAAAUGCGUAGAGAUAGGGAGGAAUACCAGUGGCGAAGGCGGCCUUCUGGACUGACACUGACGCUGAGGUGCGAAAGCGUGGGUAGCAAACAGGAUUAGAUACCCCAGUAGUC